Molecule: long non-coding RNA, 211 nt
Filed under: Elaeis guineensis (African oil palm)
Lineage: Eukaryota; Viridiplantae; Streptophyta; Magnoliopsida; Arecales; Arecaceae
Description: long non-coding RNA (EGUI_LNC067664)
Source: RNAcentral
CUACAACUACCAGAUCUCAACCCGGACACCUACGGGAGCCGGGCUCCAUCCUCGACCUCGACUGCGGGAAGGCUUCAUCCGGACUCCUACGGGAGCCGAGCUCCGCCCACGACUUCGCUUACAGGUAAACUCCGUCUAGACUCCUACGGGAGCCAGACUUCAUCCUUGACCUUGAUUGCAGGUGGACUUCGACUGGACUCUUACGGGAGCC